GCAAGGCCUGGCGCGAACGGAGCGGCCGAUGUUUGAUUAGCUAGUUGCGGGGUAAAGGCCCACCAAGGCGACGAUCAAUAGCUGGUCUGAGAGGACGACCCAGCCACACUGGAACUGAGACACGGUCCAGACUCCUACGGGAGGCAGCAGUGGGGAAUUUUGGACAAUGGGGGCAACCCUGAUCCAGCCAUGCCGCGUGCGGGAAGAAGGCCUUCGGGUUGUAAACCGCUUUUGUCAGGGAAGAAAAGGGAGGUGUGAAUAAUGCCUUCUGCUGACGGUACCUGAAGAAUAAGCACCGGCUAACUACGUGCC
Molecule: ribosomal RNA, 312 nt
Filed under: uncultured bacterium
Lineage: Bacteria
Description: bacterial SSU rRNA
Rfam family: Bacterial small subunit ribosomal RNA
Source: RNAcentral